This 396-nucleotide ribosomal RNA is filed under the name uncultured bacterium. RNAcentral's name for it is "partial 16S ribosomal RNA". It matches the Rfam family "Bacterial small subunit ribosomal RNA", at positions 523 to 918 of the family's 1533-position model. The record is from RNAcentral.
AUACGUAGGGGGCAAGCGUUAUCCGGAUUUACUGGGUGUAAAGGGAGCGUAGACGGUUUGGCAAGUCUGAUGUGAAAGCCCGGGGCUCAACCGCGGGACUGCAUUGGAAACUGUCAGACUUGAGUGCAGGAGAGGUGAGUGGAAUUCCUAGUGUAGCGGUGAAAUGCGUAGAUAUUAGGAGGAACACCAGUGGCGAAGGCGGCUCACUGGACUGUAACUGACGUUGAGGCUCGAAAGCGUGGGGAGCAAACAGGAUUAGAUACCCUGGUAGCCCACGCCGUAAACGAUGAAUGCUAGGUGUCGGGGGGCAAAGCCCUUCGGUGCCGCCGCUAACGCAUUAAGCAUUCCACCUGGGGAGUACGUUCGCAAGAAUGAAACUCAAAGGAAUUGACGGGG